UACCCAACUCCAAAUAUGCAAUGCGUUAGAACAUUCAAAAAAUAGAUGUUGAAUAGAUUCCUCUUGCUUUUCACAAAGCGAACACAUAGAACAUAUAUGCAAACCCUUAUUCUGAAUAUGUUGAUCUGUAGGAAGUCGCCCAUGAAAAUUUUUCCAGAGUACUAGAGUUUUGGAAGGCGGAAUAGAUGAAGACCAAAUGAAUUUACCCCAACCACCUGGAACUCCUGGUUCCAAGAAAAAAG
RNAcentral lists this long non-coding RNA (242 nucleotides) under Phaseolus vulgaris (common bean). Its description in RNAcentral is "long non-coding RNA (PVUL_LNC003897)". The record is from RNAcentral. Lineage: Eukaryota; Viridiplantae; Streptophyta; Magnoliopsida; Fabales; Fabaceae.